GGGAAACAUUAUAUAUAUCUGUAACACUUUUGUAAAUUACUUUUUUUUUAUUUUUUUUUAUUUUUUUUUUUUAUCGUGUUCCUAUAUUUUCAAAAAUGAGUAUGUAUUUUUUUUUAUUAUUCGAAAGUGUGGUAUUGCUGAUCAAUAGUGUUUUAAUUAUAAAUGAAAAGAAGCUAAAAAAAUAUAAAAAGAUAGACAUCAGUUUAAAUAGUAAUGACAUUUUUGAUAACAUGAAGCUGCUAUUUUACACAAUAAGAAUUUAUUUUAAAAUACCUUUAAUUUUUCUUAAUUUAUUAUGUAUAAUCAUUGAAUUUUUAUUUGGGUAGUUUUUAACACAUAGCGUGAGUAAGCAUGCUUUUUGAUUAAAUGUGAGAGCAUAUACACAAGCGUAUUCAUAUGUAUACAUACACGCAUAUAUUUAUACCCUAUGUAAUUUUAUAUCUGUUUAUUAACAUUUGAACUUUUUUAUUUGCCUCAAAUAUAUGUACAUGUAUAUGCGCAUAUGUUUACGCUCUUAUCAAAAUUAGUUACGAAGUAAUUUCAUCGUACCAUAGUUUACCUUUAAUAAGUAUCUAAGUAUUGAUUUAAAAAAAAAAAAAAAAAAAAAAAAAACGUAAAUUAUAGCUCAUGCUGUUUUAUUUGAACUGUUUAUUAAGAAGAGUUUUUCCCUGACUUUUUUAACAUAUAUAUAUAUAUAUAUAUAUAUAUACGUACGCAAUGUGUGAGAAUAAACUAUGUGGACAUAUGGACUUCUUGUUUAAUUAAUAUCUGCUACACGUUUAUGCUUUGCAAUUUUUUUUUUUUUUUUUUUUUUUUUUUUUUUUUUUUUUUCACUCCAGCGUUAUUACACAUUCAUCUCAUUCGGAUAAUAUGACUUCUAGUUACAUAAAUGAAGUUCGAAAAAAACAAAAAGAAUAUUUAAAUAAAUUAUUUUGCAAGUUCGAAAAAUACUCUAAUGAAAAAUUCUUAAAUAAUUUACUAAAUAAGUCGUUAAACGAAAUAGCUUUGUAUCCUUUUCAAGAUGUAAAUGACAAUGACGUUAUUAACGAAAUUAACAACUAUAUUAAUGAGUUGACUAUAAAUGCAAAUUAUAAAAAAAAACGCAUUUUAAAACAUUUAUGUGAAAAAUUUCUAGCUAAUAGUUUUUACGUGUAUGAUCAGAAAGACAGAUAUGACUUAAAAUAUGUUAUAUUAAGUGUAUUAUUUUUAAUAAGAGAUAGUACAAUUAUUGAAAAUACAAAAGAGGUUGAUUUUAUUUAUGAUAAGUAUUUUAACUAUGCUACAACUGCAAAAAAAAAAAAAAAUGCGUAUGGCCAUUUAAAUAUUAAUGAACAAAAGGCAUUAGACGAUAUAUAUAAAUUCAACAUAGAGGAAGAAAAAAAAUAUAUAAAAGAUUUACAUGACGAUAUAGAGGAAGAAGAUGAAUACUCCGAUCUAUCAUCAUCAUCAUCAUCAUCAUCAUCAUCUCCUUCGUCUUUGUCAGAAGUUGAUGAAAGGGACAAAGAUAAUAGACGUGGUACAAAUCAUAAUAAAUAUAUCCAUAGCCGUCAAUAUGAGUACGAUACUUAUGAAUAUGAUGAAGAUGACUCAACUGAAACGGAAACCGAAUCAGUCGAUAGUAUGGACACAUAUCCAAUUGAAAAGAAUAACAAAAAAAAGAGUAUUAAUCUACAUACCGAUUUAAAUAAUAAUGACUUUACACAUAUUGCAAGAUACCAAACAGGUGAGACAAAUAAUAAAGCAUAUGGUAGUUAUGAUGCUUUUAAUGAAACGAAAUAUAACAUUUUAAUUGAGAGUUACUUAAAAAACAACAAUAAAUUAACAUAUGAAAAUGUAAUUAAAAAAGUAUAUGAUUGUGUGUAUAAUUACCCACAUUAUGAGGACGUAAAAACUAAGUUAAAUAGUGCUUCAAACAUUUUUUCAGAAAAAAACAAAAUAAGAAAAAAAAAGGAAAAUUCAAAUGAUAUACAUGCAACUAGUAACAACUAUAAUGAUAGGAAUAAUGAAUUAGGUUUCUGUAAUAAAAAUUAUACAUCAAAUGAAGAUGCAUGUGACGAAAAUAUUGCUGUAGACAAUAGCUAUGACGAUAACAAUUCAAGUCCAAGCUCAGAGGAAGAUAUACUAAGAAGUUUAAAAAAAAAAAAAAAAAAAGAUUUUAUGUCAAUGAAAAAACCAAAAGAACAAUAUUUUUUUAAUACAUUGAAUUUAUUUAAUGAAGAAAGUUAUGAAAAUUUGGAAAAUGAGCAAAAUGUAAUAUAUCAAACGGAUAUAUAUAAUUUACAUAACGUUUUUCGAACAAGUUCUACUUUUGACGAGCUCCAUGAGUUUACCGAAUCAGGUAUGGGUAAAGAAAAGCAAAAAGAUAAAGACAUACAAUUACAUAAACAGAAACAGCAGCAAAACAUCAUUACUACCCAGAAAUACCAAACAAAAGGAACAAAUUUUGAUAAUGAAAACGAUGUGGAUAAUAAAAACCAAGUAGAUAAAAAUAAUAGUACAUGCCCAAAUGGAAAAAACGAAACGAUCGAAUAUGCAUAUAACAAUAACCCAAAUCAAACAAAUGCUGUUGUCGAUAACAACUUGAACCACAAUUGGAACACAACAGAUAAAGUAGGUUUUACACAUAAUUAUAAGAACAUCCAUAAAGAUAUAGUAACCGAUGUGUAUACAAACAAAAACAAAAGAAACAACAACAACAACAAUAGCAAUAAAAACAGCAGGCAAAAAAAGAACUCUUUUUAUGUAAGUGAGAUAUUUAUUAUAAAAGAAAUAUUAAUGCUAUUAUCUUUAAAUUGUCCUAUAAAAUUUCAAGAUAAUUUUUUUAUAAAUUUUGCUGAUUUUUUAUUUAAUAAUGCAAUGAAUAAAGAUAAAAUAAAAGAUGAUUUUUUAUUUUACAUAGAAAUAAAAAAAAAAAUAAUAAGAAAAAAAACUA
Molecule: long non-coding RNA, 2932 nt
Organism: Piliocolobus tephrosceles (Ugandan red Colobus)
Lineage: Eukaryota; Metazoa; Chordata; Mammalia; Primates; Cercopithecidae
Source: Ensembl